ACAGAAGAGCGAAAUUGUUUGAUCAGAAAGUCAGAAGCUAAAAAUAUGUAUGUAAACAAAUCAUCUUUUCUUCUGGUGAUCCACACAGCAACUUAACUUACCGACCUCAAUACUGCUCAAAUUGGAACGAGACAAUGAGCUCCCCUUGUGUUCAUGACUACAUAAUGUUUUCAUGUUCUAAGUUUCCAAACAACCUGGUUCUUUCACUCUAGGGGAUUAUGUAGACAGAAAUUAGGAAAAUGUAUAUAGUCAAUUAUAACAACAAUGUAACAUCACCAAAGUCAGUUAAAUUUUAAGAUGCAUGUAUGAUCCAGGUUCUAUAGAACAUGGUAGAAGGUGAAGUACGCAAACAAAACAAAUUUGGUGCUCAGAGCCUCAGACCAAAGACAUAUUGUUGGGAAAAUUUC
RNAcentral lists this long non-coding RNA (407 nucleotides) under Hordeum vulgare. Its description in RNAcentral is "long non-coding RNA (HVUL_LNC009337)". The record is from RNAcentral. Lineage: Eukaryota; Viridiplantae; Streptophyta; Magnoliopsida; Poales; Poaceae.